GUUGCAUCUAUAAUUAGGGUGGGUUUGAUUUAAAUAGCUAGUAAGACUAUAAUGUAAAUCACGGUUUCCUACGUUAAGAUUUAUUCUCUGGUAGUUUUUUAGAAUAACAUUUAACCGUCUCAUGCAAGUCCUUGUUGCAUUUUUUUCAGUUUUUGAACGCAUAUGUCUUACCCUUACAUAAGGAACUUCGUUUAAAUAAUCCCAAACUGAGUCUUUUACAGCGUGCUGCCAUAUAGUUUUUGUCAUUAACCCCUUUGUGACGAAUGACGGACCUGGUCAGUCAUGGAGGGAAAGCAGUUAACGCCAGAUGACAAACCGGGUCCGUCAUGUGCUAAUGUUGACCCCAGAUCACGGGGUUAACGCUCCUCCGGUCUGCCUCUGUAUUUGAGGCAGACGGGAGCACCUGAUUGGCUGUCCC
Pelobates cultripes (western spadefoot toad) is the source of this 418-nucleotide non-coding RNA. The record is from the annotation of a GenBank genome assembly. NCBI's taxonomy places the organism in Eukaryota, Metazoa, Chordata, Amphibia, Anura, Pelobatidae.